This 1082-nucleotide ribosomal RNA is filed under the name Melampsora sp. SAL 44. RNAcentral describes it as "partial 28S ribosomal RNA". It matches the Rfam family "Eukaryotic large subunit ribosomal RNA", at positions 1 to 1065 of the family's 3401-position model. Lineage: Eukaryota; Fungi; Basidiomycota; Pucciniomycetes; Pucciniales; Melampsoraceae. The record is from RNAcentral.
UAGACUUCAAAUCAGGUGGGACUACCCGCUGAACUUAAGCAUAUCAAUAAGCGGAGGAAAAGAAAAUAACUAUGAUUCCCUUAGUAACGGCGAGUGAACAGGGARAAGCCCAAAUUUGUAAUCUGGCAYYUUUUACARRUGUCCGAGUUGUAAUUUGUAGARCUGUUAUCCGURCUGGACCAUGUACAAGUCUGUUGAAAAGCAGCAUCRUUGAAGGUGAAAAUCCUGUWRAUGAUAUGGACUACCAGURYAUUUGYGAUACGGUUUCUAAGAGUCGAGUUGUUUGGGAAUGCAGCUCAAAGUGGGUGGUAAAUUCCAUCUAAGGCUAAAUAUAAGUGAGAGACCGAUAGCAAACAAGUACCGUGAGGGAAAGAUGAAAAGAACUUUGAAAAUAGAGUUAACAGUACGUGAAAUUGCUGAAAGGGAAACGUUUGAAGUUAGUWUUGUAUUCGUUGGAUCAGCUUCGCAAGGAGUGUAUUCUGAUGAUAAGCAAGUCAACAUCARUCUAUGAGUGUYGGAUAAGGGUUUYGAGRAYGUAGCAAUUUAAUUGUGUUAUARCUUGARRCUUGGAUACGAUGCUUUGGAUUGAGGAACGCGUAGUAAGCUUUGWGCGGAUUGGAAASGAUCUCCUUACUAUGGAUGUUGGUGAAAUAACUUUAAGCGACCCGUCUUGAAACACGGACCAAGGAGUCUAACAUGCUUGCGAGUAUUAGGGUGUUGAAACCCGAAUGCGUAAUGAAAGUGAAUYUWRGAUGUGAUCCGCAAGGUGCAACAUCGWCCGGUCYKGAUYAUUUAURUGAMGGUACUGAGYAAGAGCAAGUAUGUUAGGACCCGAAAGAUGGUGAACUAUGCCUGGAUAGGGUGAAGUCAGAGGAAACUCUGAUGGAAGCUCGUAGCGGUUCUGACGUGCAAAUCGAUCGUAGAAUCUGGGUAUAGGGGCGAAAGACUAAUCGAACCAUCUAGUAGCUGGUUCCUGCCGAAGUUUCCCUCAGGAUAGCAAAGACUUUUAAAUUAGUUUUAUGAGGUAAAGCGAAUGAUUAGAGGGCUUGGGAAUGUAAUGUUCUUAACCUAUUCUCAAACUU